AUUGAACGCUGGCGGCAGGCCUAACACAUGCAAGUCGAGCGGAUGAAGGGAGCUUGCUCCUGGAUUCAGCGGCGGACGGGUGAGUAAUGCCUAGGAAUCUGCCUGGUAGUGGGGGAUAACGUCCGGAAACGGGCGCUAAUACCGCAUACGUCCUGAGGGAGAAAGUGGGGGAUCUUCGGACCUCACGCUAUCAGAUGAGCCUAGGUCGGAUUAGCUAGUUGGUGGGGUAAAGGCCUACCAAGGCGACGAUCCUUAACUGGUCUGAGAGGAUGAUCAGUCACACUGGAACUGAGACACGGUCCAGACUCCUACGGGAGGCAGCAGUGGGGAAUAUUGGACAAUGGGCGAAAGCCUGAUCCAGCCAUGCCGCGUGUGUGAAGAAGGUCUUCGGAUUGUAAAGCACUUUAAGUUGGGAGGAAGGGCAGUAAGUUAAUACCUUGCUGUUUUGACGUUACCAACAGAAUAAGCACCGGCUAACUUCGUG
This 484-nucleotide ribosomal RNA is filed under the name uncultured bacterium. RNAcentral describes it as "partial 16S ribosomal RNA". It matches the Rfam family "Bacterial small subunit ribosomal RNA", at positions 30 to 507 of the family's 1533-position model. The record is from RNAcentral.